Taeniopygia guttata (zebra finch) is the source of this 1213-nucleotide non-coding RNA. The record is from RefSeq and is a predicted model, not a curated record. Lineage: Eukaryota; Metazoa; Chordata; Aves; Passeriformes; Estrildidae.
CAAGCCCAGCCUCCAUCCCCACCACCCAGCUCAGCGAGGCCUGGCCACCACACCAAGAGCAAACCCCAUCUGCAGAAGAGAGCUCCCAGGAAUGCUCUUGACAAGGAGACUCCCCUCCAAAACUGUAAUUGAAAUGAAAAUGGGGACUGCAGGAAGGCAGAUGGGCAUGGCAGUUCUCCAGCACCAAGCAAAAGCUGCAUUUCUGCCGCCAGUAUCUGCUGAGGGAAGCCAAUCCCAGAGAGAAAAGGGCAGCAUUAGCACAUUGAGAGACCUCUGCUUGCUGCUUGGGAGCAGAAGCCUCACACCCACACAAUCUCAUCCAGAUGGAGGCUUUCAACCAUCCAGACAUCUGCUGGGAAAGCAGUACAGCAGGCUGAGAGCAAUCCAGGAGACUCCUAGAGUGCCUAGAGGACAACCUACUGGUCCAGGUAUCGGACAAAGCUGCCAAAGAAGUGUUGCUGGACCUGGUGCUCACAUGUGCUGAUGAGCUCAUCAGAGAAGUUUAGUGGAGGCUGUCUGGACUGUAGCAGCCAGGCCCUGGAUUGGGUCCAUGAUCUUGAGGAACAUGGGUCUUGUAGGGAUCAGAGUGAACUUCUAUCUGUUUAAAAAAUUAGUGGACGAGAUCCCCAGGAAAGCUGCCCUUAGGGACAGAGGAGCUGACCAGAGCUUUCAGGACACUGUUCUUAGCUCUCUAUACACGUGAGUCAGGAAUCAAGCACUGAGUAAUUCUUUAGGUGACUUGAGGAGUAGAAGAGGCCAUUACAGCUGACUACUCUGCUCUGCUGCAACAAGGAAGCCUUUGCUCCAAGACCUCACAAUCAAAUAUAAGACAAACAAGAAAGGUGGAAUAACCAGGGUGGAGAGGGAGUCAAGGGCCAGAGGAAAGUGUGAUGUGUACCAGAGCUACAGGGACUGAGGCUUUCUAUUCCUAAUUAACAGACUCACUUGUCUUGUUUUCUGCUCUGACCACCAUAUGAGCCUUUUAAAUAUAGAAGGCUCCUCCCUGGCUAUGUACACAGCCAGCCAGGCACCACCAUCCAUCUCAGCUACAUGGCCACAGGUCACAUUUUCAGAACCACUUGAUGGGUGGAUUAAUGGCUGCCUUUUUAUUGCCAGCUCCCCAGCUUUUGAGGCGGGGUGGAGGCAGGAAGGAAAAAAAUAACUAAUAAAAACACACCAUAUGUGAAGUUUUGAAGUGUCAUGAAGGUGGAUU